AAUUUAUUAAGCAGUUGCUUUUAAAAAUCGAUUACCCUCCCCCUCCUUUAAUAUGAGGUAAGGAGGGGGAGGGGGUAAGGCUGUGCAGUUGUAUGCGGCAGAGAUGGUGCAAUAAAUAUGAUCUCUGAUGAUAUCUGACAAUUUUUGAAGGGUCCCAAACGGAGCCUCGUUGAUUGACAUCACAGGCAUCAAUAACGGUUCUGAUGAUGGUCCAUUUCAAGACGGAAGAUUCUGCGUGCUAAUAACUAUUCAAAUAAUUAGGUCAACAAAUGGCCGUAAAGAGUUUUUUCAUAAUUUAUCGUUAACUUCGACAAUAGCAGAUACAUAUUAUUAUAAUGUAAGCUAAGGGUUUUAAAUACUUUUAAUAGAUUCUAUACUCCGAAUAAUUUAAAAACUUUAUAAGCAAUUUCUUCAAAUAUAGACCUAAUAUUAUAUUCAUUCUAAUAUUAGCUUAUGUAAGUCUUAAAGUGGUAAAACACUAAAUGGUAACGGUCAUAAUAUCAGUAGAUUUGCUAAGAUGAAUAAGAUAUCUUUGUGUAUAUAAAAAUAGAAGAAGUCUCAUGAUUUAAUUAAAAAAAAUGUAUUUGAAAUUUGGUAUUACUUAAAUCUGGUUUGUGUGCUUUCGCGAAAUAACCCAAUUUUAAUAGAUCGCUA
This is a long non-coding RNA of Vanessa atalanta (red admiral), 654 nucleotides long. RefSeq lists it as uncharacterized. The record is from RefSeq and is a predicted model, not a curated record. NCBI's taxonomy places the organism in Eukaryota, Metazoa, Arthropoda, Insecta, Lepidoptera, Nymphalidae. The transcript has 4 exons.